UGACCGCCAUGCUAUCUGGUUUGGUGGAUGCCUUGGGUCUGAAAGUCGAUGAAGGACGCGAUUACCUGCGAUAAGCUUCGUGGAGUUGGAAAUAAACUAUGAUACGGAGAUUUCCGAAUGGGGUAACCUAACUGAGCAAACCUCAGUUGCAUUUUGAUGAAUCCAUAGUCAAAUUAGCGAGACACGUUGCGAAUUGAAACAUCUUAGUAGCAACAGGAAAAGAAAAUAAAUAAUGAUUUCGUCAGUAGUGGCGAGCGAA
RNAcentral lists this ribosomal RNA (259 nucleotides) under Klebsiella pneumoniae. Its description in RNAcentral is "partial 23S ribosomal RNA". It matches the Rfam family "Bacterial large subunit ribosomal RNA", at positions 1 to 257 of the family's 2925-position model. Lineage: Bacteria; Pseudomonadati; Pseudomonadota; Gammaproteobacteria; Enterobacterales; Enterobacteriaceae. The record is from RNAcentral.